Molecule: unclassified non-coding RNA, 289 nt
Organism: Marmota marmota marmota (Alpine marmot)
Lineage: Eukaryota; Metazoa; Chordata; Mammalia; Rodentia; Sciuridae
Gene: 7SK
Rfam family: 7SK RNA
About the family: 7SK was discovered as an abundant small nuclear RNA in the mid-70s but a possible function has only recently been suggested. Two independent studies have found that 7SK RNA binds the CDK9/cyclin T complex (known as elongation factor P-TEFb). P-TEFb activates transcription by phosphorylating the C-terminal domain of RNA polymerase II.
Source: Ensembl
GCAGGUAAGGGCAAUCUGGCUGUAACUUCUGACACCCCACCGAUUGUCAACAUGGAUUCCACUGGUCUGGCUGGCUAGGUUGGUGUGUCCUUUCUCUCUCACCAGUUCAUGUCUGUCCCACCAAAACUCUGUCUCGGCUGAAGAAGACAAGCUUCCCAAUAGAAGACCAGUUUUUAGUCCAGUCCCUGCCUAGGACCGUCAAACAAGUUCUUAAGAAACAGACUGGAAGGAUUAUGAAGUUAAAAAAAAAAAAAAGAAUGAAAGAAAAGAAAAGAAACAGGCUUCACAU